GGAGCUCAUUGGUGUGAAGGACA
RNAcentral lists this non-coding RNA (23 nucleotides) under Arabidopsis thaliana (thale cress). Lineage: Eukaryota; Viridiplantae; Streptophyta; Magnoliopsida; Brassicales; Brassicaceae. The record is from RNAcentral.